Molecule: ribosomal RNA, 253 nt
Filed under: uncultured bacterium
Lineage: Bacteria
Description: partial 16S ribosomal RNA
Rfam family: Bacterial small subunit ribosomal RNA
Source: RNAcentral
UACAGAGGUCUCAAGCGUUGUUCGGAUUCAUUGGGCGUAAAGGGUGCGUAGGCGGCGCGGUAAGUCGGGUGUGAAAUUUCGAGGCUUAACUUCGAAACUGCAUUCGAUACUGCCGUGCUUGAGGACUGGAGAGGAGACUGGAAUUUACGGUGUAGCGGUGAAAUGCGUAGAUAUCGAGAGGAACACCUGCGGCGAAGGCGGGUUGCUGGGCUGACACUGACGCUGAGGCGCGAAAGCCAGGGGAGCGAACGGG